Molecule: ribosomal RNA, 642 nt
Filed under: uncultured bacterium
Lineage: Bacteria
Description: bacterial SSU rRNA
Rfam family: Bacterial small subunit ribosomal RNA
Source: RNAcentral
CGCGGCCUAUCAGCUUGUUGGUGAGGUAAUGGCUCACCAAGACGACGACGGGUAGCCGGCCUGAGAGGGCGACCGGCCACACUGGGACUGAGACACGGCCCAGACUCCUACGGGAGGCAGCAGUGGGGAAUAUUGCACAAUGGGGGAAACCCUGAUGCAGCGACGCAGCGUGCGGGAUGACGGCCUUCGGGUUGUAAACCGCUUUCAGCAGGGAAGAAGCGCAAGUGACGGUACCUGCAGAAGAAGUACCGGCUAACUACGUGCCAGCAGCCGCGGUAAUACGUAGGGUACGAGCGUUGUCCGGAAUUAUUGGGCGUAAAGAGCUCGUAGGUGGUUGGUCACGUCUGCUGUGGAAACGCAACGCUUAACGUUGCGCGUGCAGUGGGUACGGGCUGACUAGAGUGCAGUAGGGGAGUCUGGAAUUCCUGGUGUAGCGGUGAAAUGCGCAGAUAUCAGGAGGAACACCGGUGGCGAAGGCGGGACUCUGGGCUGUAACUGACACUGAGGAGCGAAAGCAUGGGGAGCGAACAGGAUUAGAUACCCUGGUAGUCCAUGCCGUAAACGUUGGGCACUAGGUGUGGGGGGCAUUCCACGUUCUCCGCGCCGUAGCUAACGCAUUAAGUGCCCCGCCUGGGGAGUACA